AAACUCCAGACCAGUUGGGAGACUUGAGCAAAGGACUUUGCAGAUUUCAAAAAACCUUUCUUUCUCACAGGUAUAAGACACAAAUUCUAUAUUGUUACGAAGCACUUUUUAUCAAGGGUCAGUUUUUACAUUUUAUAGCUGUGUGCGAAAGGCUUCCAGAUGUGAGAUGCAUCUCUCUUGUGCUCCAGACUGUAUCACAGGCUGCUUUUUACCGAAAGAGGGGAAACUCAUGCCUUUCCUUUUUUAAGAAUGCUUUUUUGUAUUUGUCCAUACGUCACUAUACAUUUGAGCUUUAUAAGCGCCUGGGAGGAACAGUGAGCUUGGUUGAGACAUUUCAUUGCAGUGUUGCUCUGUUCCUAGCUUGGGAAGCUUCCGCUCAGAGGUCCUGGCGCCUCGGCACAGCUGCCACGGGCUCUCCUGGGCUUGCAGUCAAUCACAACCUCAGUGUGACUCCGCAGUGGCCCCUGCAGCCGGGCAAGCAGGAGCAGGUCUCUCUGCAUCUGUUAUUUGAGGAACUCAAGUUUGGUUGCCAGAAAAAUGUGCUUCAUUCCCCCCUGGUUCAUUUUACACACCCUAGGAAACGUUUCCAAGAUCCUGUGAUAGCGAAUGAUCCUUAGAGUAGGUGUGGGGUCUUGUCUCCAACCUGAGCGUUUUCUGAAAGGUUCACUGCUUCAGUAUUUAAUGUUUCGGAAGUAUGUGAGGUUCCAACACUGUUAGCAAAAACCUUAGGAGAAAACUUAAAAAUAUAUGAAUACAUGCUCAAUACACAGCUACAGAGACGCAUUCUGUUGACAAAGGAAACCUUCAAGGCGUGUUUCUUUCUCUCACCACAAUGGAACAUGCAGGACUAAAGCAAUAUAUUUGUGAUUCCCCAUGUAACUCUCCCUGUGCAGUCCUCUGUUGGAAGCUCAGAUGACCGCACGCCCUUCCUCUGUACAUACGCACUUAAGAUCACCCUGCAUGCCCUGCUCCUUCCGCACACGCUGCGUCGUUCUGCUGUGUUAUAUACUAUGUACGUGUCAGAGACCAUUAGCAUUGCAUGCAGGUUUCGUAUUCUUUCUAAGACAAAGAGAAAAGUAAUAAAAUAUAUUUGAAAUGUACCAAAA
Molecule: non-coding RNA, 1106 nt
Organism: Microcebus murinus (gray mouse lemur)
Lineage: Eukaryota; Metazoa; Chordata; Mammalia; Primates; Cheirogaleidae
Source: RefSeq, a predicted model, not a curated record